Long non-coding RNA from Neogale vison (American mink), 2430 nucleotides. RefSeq lists it as uncharacterized. NCBI's taxonomy places the organism in Eukaryota, Metazoa, Chordata, Mammalia, Carnivora, Mustelidae. The transcript has 3 exons. The record is from RefSeq and is a predicted model, not a curated record.
AUUAUUCUUUUAUCAAUUUUGAAAGAUUUUCAGCGAUUAUAUUUUGAUUAUCUCUAUCAUUCUUUCUUUUGAAAGCUCUGAGAACAUGUUAGAUCUGUUGUUGUGUCCACCAUGCCCUUUGUUUCUUAACCUAUUUCAUAUUUUCCAUUCUUUUCCCUCUGUGUUGCAUUCUGGUAUAUUCUUCAGAAUUAUAACCAAACAAAUUUGGGGAAGAACCUUUAUUUGGUUCUUCAAGAAAUGAAAAUGAAUUUUAAGAAAUCCAACAGGUGGAUUAAACAGACACCUCUAAUAAGGAGAGACUUUUAAAACUAGAAUCUCAGAAUGUUUACUUUUGCUGGCUAACUUAGAGAUAGUACCCGUAGUUCAGAGCCACAUUAAACUAGAUUUUCAGCUUAACAUUUUUUUGACCAAUGUGAUGUUUGCUGAAAAACUUAAUGAAAUUCACUGACUUGAGGCUACAAAUUAUCAGUGGUAAAUUUUCCCAACCUCCAUUCAGUGCCAAGGUUCAAAACAGGCAGUUUUCUUUCAUCCCUUUAAUGAGUUUGGGGGAGAAGCAUUUUAUUGCAAGUUCGCUGUUAUGGUGAAGGGUCGUUCUUUAGGAUGUCAACUUUAUGGGCUGGGGUCUCCUAUUUGACCCCUCUUCUUGGAUAUGCCCUGAACUUUCUUCUCUAUCCUCAUGUAGACUUGAAAAUGGAAGCUCAUAAUCCUUGCCCUCAAGGCAAAAGCUGGCUUCACAGAGUUUCCUUCAACCUCUCUGGGGUUUUGCUUGGAUAUUUACAUUUUGCAUAACUUUAGCAGCUGAUUUCCACAGGCAAGCACUUAGUCUAAUGUUGCCAGAAAUAGGUGCCUAACUUUCUCAUAUAUUUUUUUAAAAUUUUAUUUUUAAGUAAUUUCUACACCCACUGUGGGGCUCAAACUCAGAAUCCCAAGACCAAGAGUCACAUGCUCCCCCAGCUAAGCCAGCCAGGUGGCCAAUUUUCUUAUAUUCCUGACAACACUGUUUCCUCAACAUUUUUGCUGAAGGUAUGUUAUGAUAGACAUUUGGGCAAGGAGGGAUGGCAGCCCUUCACCUUCUUCACAGUAUCAUGACUUACUUUCUGGGAAUAAAAAGAGAAAUUGUGUUGGUAUGAUAUAAGGUUUCUAGCCUAUAUGUGGGUAGUAGAUUUUUCAUUUAGAGAGUAGUUUGAAUCCCAAAUUUGUGGGAAUUUUUUCCGUAUAUGUUUAUAUACCUGUUAAAUUUAACACUUUAAGUUGCUCAUUGGUAAUGUUAGAAUGUAUUGAUCAGGACUUCAGUUGUUCCUUUGAGAAAAUCAGUUAUAAUUCUUUGUUUCACUUUUCCCAGGAGAUUCUGCUUUCUGCAGGAGAAGUGGGGUUCAAUCUCAUCAGGGGUGCCACUGCUAAUUCCCAGAUAACACUGACUGCUUCUGAUGAACCAGCGAGCCUGCAGUGAGGCCCCGAGAACAGUUCAAGCAAGUUUCCAGCGCUGCUGACACUGCUGUCAAAUAGCCACGACUUGAGAAGCACUGCCUUGGAGGGACUAGCCCACAGGUGAAGAACAGCACCAUAGCUAGCCUGGUGAGCUCAGCACCCACUCCCAGCCCAAGCUCCAUGGCAAAGGCACACACCAGAUGAUGGGCUGCGCCUUCUUCAGCUGAGAUUCCCUUAAAGGAGACCCUUGACCUAGAGGAACGGAGAGGGCAGUCCACUAGAAUACCAAUUUGUGAGUUGUUUCUUUUCACUUUGUACUGGAGUUUGAAGAACUGCUUUAAAUGUCCCCAUCCUUCAAGUCUACUUUGUAUUCUCUUCAUUACAGCUCAGUGUACCUGUCACAGCCUGGAAAACAGACAAUUCCAUCACACCCUCCCCCCGAUAUUAUUUUAGAUUUUCUCUUUUCCUUAAAAUGUAGUUGAACAAUUUGCCAGACAUAUUCCAACAGAAAAUGUGCUGCCCGGUAUCACCCUGCCCCUCCCCAACCCCCUAAAUCCCUGAUAAAGGAAAAUGAAAAUGUAAACUUUGGAAAGCCUGUGCUCAAGGUUUGCUUCUAGAAGUAUGCAAAUGAAGCCCUCUGGCCAGCCAAGCCCUUCCUGCUGGAAUCUCUCUGGCCUAGGCUUUGAGAGCGGGUGCCUUGUCACCCAGGGCAGAGCUUUCCUGGCAUUUCCCCGGCACUGGCUGCCUGAGGGCUGAAAGAAUGGAGUGGGAGACCGGCCCUCCAGUACUCUCUAAGGCACUAACCCCGACAUCAGAGACACUGGCUGGAAGGGCGUCCAAGCAGGCAGGGCUCACAUUGGUUUUGGUUGGGUUGUUUUUUGUUUUUUUUUUUUAUAUUUUUUCAUACGAUGUUAAUAAUCAAAAGUAGAAAAUAAAAAUCUACAUUUCAUUAGAAUAAGAUGUUAUCAUGGAUGCCAUCUCCCAUGAUACUCUUUCCCACCC